This 428-nucleotide ribosomal RNA is filed under the name uncultured bacterium. RNAcentral describes it as "bacterial SSU rRNA". It matches the Rfam family "Bacterial small subunit ribosomal RNA", at positions 355 to 775 of the family's 1533-position model. The record is from RNAcentral.
UGGGGAAUAUUGGACAAUGGGGGCAACCCUGAUCCAGCAAUGCCGCGUGUGUGAAGAAGGCCUGAGGGUUGUAAAGCACUUUCGUUGGGGAGGAAAGACUCGGUGCUAAUAUCAUCGAGGGAUGACGCUACCCAAAUAAGAAGCACCGGCUAACUCUGUGCCAGCAGCCGCGGUAAUACAGAGGGUGCGAGCGUUAAUCGGAAUUACUGGGCGUAAAGCGCGCGUAGGUUGGUAGAUGUGUUGGCUGUGAAAUCCCCGAGCUUAACUUGGGACGGUCAGCCAAAACUGUCUAUCUAGAGUAUGGUAGAGGAAAGUGGAAUUUCAGGUGUAGCGGUGAAAUGCGUAGAUAUCUGAAGGAACAUCAGUGGCGAAGGCGACUUUCUGGACUAAUACUGACACUGAGGCGCGAAAGCGUGGGGAGCAAACAG